This 634-nucleotide ribosomal RNA is filed under the name uncultured fungus. Its description in RNAcentral is "eukaryotic LSU rRNA". It matches the Rfam family "Eukaryotic large subunit ribosomal RNA", at positions 24 to 664 of the family's 3401-position model. Lineage: Eukaryota; Fungi. The record is from RNAcentral.
CCCGCUGAACUUAAGCAUAUCAAUAAGCGGAGGAAAAGAAACUAACAAGGAUUCCCCUAGUAACUGCGAGUGAAGCGGGAAAAGCUCAAAUUUAAAAUCUGGUGGUCUUUGGCCAUCCGAGUUGUAAUUUAGAGAAGCGUCUUCCGCGCUGGACCGUGCACAAGUCUCCUGGAAUGGAGCGUCACAGAGGGUGAGAAUCCCGUCUUUGGCAUGGACACACCAGGGCUUUUGUGAUGCGCUCUCGAAGAGUCGAGUUGUUUGGGAAUGCAGCUCAAAAUGGGUGGUGAACUCCAUCUAAAGCUAAAUAUUGGCGAGAGACCGAUAGCGAACAAGUACCGUGAGGGAAAGAUGAAAAGCACUUUGGAAAGAGAGUGAAACAGUACGUGAAAUUGUUGAAAGGGAAGCGCUUGAGACCAGACUCGGUGAUUGGUGAUCAGCGGUAGCUUCUGCUCCGUGCACUUGCCUUUUACUGGGCCAGCAUCAGUUGCGACGGCAGGAUAAAGGUUCAGGGAAUGUGGCUCUCUUCGGGGGGAGUGUUAUAGCCCUGGGUGUAAUGCUGCCUGCCGCGACUGAGGACCGCGCUUCGGCUAGGAUGCUGGCAUAAUGGUCUUCAGCGACCCGUCUUGAAACACGG